GACGAAGGGGGCUAGCGUUGUUCGGAAUUACUGGGCGUAAAGCGUGUGUAGGUGGUUGUCGUAGUUGGGUGUGAAAGCCUUGAGCUCAACUCAAGAAAUGCACUCAAUACUCGGCGGCUAGAGGACCGGAGAGGAUAGUGGAAUUCCCAGUGUAGUGGUGAAAUACGUAGAGAUUGGGAAGAACACCAGUGGCGAAGGCGGCUAUCUGGACGGUUUCUGACACUAAGACACGAAAGCGUGGGGAGCAAACAGG
This 253-nucleotide ribosomal RNA is filed under the name uncultured bacterium. RNAcentral describes it as "partial 16S ribosomal RNA". It matches the Rfam family "Bacterial small subunit ribosomal RNA", at positions 524 to 776 of the family's 1533-position model. The record is from RNAcentral.